CACAUACCAGUCAAUCUACUGAGCCGCAUAGUUACCCCCAAUAGUUGUCUAUGUUCUUUAGCAAUGAGUCAUUUUUGCUACUUCCAAAUUCACAUCCAAUAUAUCCGAUCAGUCAUUGAUUUACUUCUCUUCUAUUUCCAUAGUAUUUUUCACAUUGAUUCCCUACUUAGCAUUUCUACUACCAUCACCCCAGUUUAUCUCAUUACUCCAGGGUAUGUAAUCAGAAUAUAGUAGUUUCCUUACAAGUCUGUUUGCCUAUUGAAAUGGAUUGGUAUGAUAUAAUUUUAUGACAAAUGACCCAUACAACAUACUCAGCAUUAAUAAUGUUUCCUAAUUUUAUUCUAGUUAUUAUAGCAUAUAGUAGGACUAAUAUCUACCAAGAUUUUCCCACAAAAUGGGAUAGAUACUUGCUCCUUUCCUCUCAUGACAGGGAUUAAUUUUCCCUAAAAGGAGACAAUACAGUUCUAAUUAGCUAAUUCAUUUAUUUAUUUAUUUUUGUCAUAGCUGUGUGGUUCCCUAAAGGCAUGAAAAAUCCAAACAAUUUGCAGUUGCUACCCUUCUGAUUUGGACUUGUCAAAAUUACGGAAGUUGACAUGUUCUUCAUCCUAGCCUGUUGCCCAGGUGGUUUUCCAUGGAAAAAAGGGAGAUAUAUCCAGAAGAUUGUGGAUUCAAACAUCAACAGGAAAACAAUCUAUAUCCCCAAGAAACUCAAAUAUCACCUGAGUGAGUUGGUUGUUAAACCAAUAUUACUUAACAUACUUUAGAGAAAUCAUCUCCUGACAGGUUUCAGAAGAUAGCUCCUUCCAGGCCUGCUGACCUCCUUCCCUCUGUCAACCAGUCUCUCUUCAAAUUGAUGAUAUAAUCCACCAAUUUUCCAGAAUGUUCUGAAAUCUUCUGAACCAACUGUCACCAACAUCUCUCAGGAUUUUCUGAGGAAAAACCAAAACACCUACAAUUUCUGAGUGUCAAAACAUACAAAAAGACAUUUAUUUUGUCUCAGAUCCUCAGGGCUCUUAGAAAAUCUCUUAAAUAAUUUUCAUGGAAAUUCCAGCUACUUCUUAAGGUAACCUGUCCACAACCUUUCUCUCAACUGGAGAACUUAUACACAACCAUGUUAAUUAACCCAAUUUCCUAAUUAACUCUUAAUUAACUAACACAUAUUCCAUUACAAUCCUUUCCUAAAAACAACUG
Molecule: long non-coding RNA, 1191 nt
Filed under: Monodelphis domestica (gray short-tailed opossum)
Lineage: Eukaryota; Metazoa; Chordata; Mammalia; Didelphimorphia; Didelphidae
Description: lncRNA (ENSMODG00000036779.1)
Source: RNAcentral